CCUACGGGAGGCAGCAGUGAGGAAUAUUGGUCAAUGGGCGAGAGCCUGAACCAGCCAAGUAGCGUGCAGGAAGACGGCCCUAUGGGUUGUAAACUGCUUUUAUACGGGGAUAAAGUGAGCCACGUGUGGCUUAUUGCAGGUACCGUAUGAAUAAGGACCGGCUAAUUCCGUGCCAGCAGCCGCGGUAAUACGGAAGGUCCGGGC
This 204-nucleotide ribosomal RNA is filed under the name uncultured bacterium. RNAcentral describes it as "partial 16S ribosomal RNA". It matches the Rfam family "Bacterial small subunit ribosomal RNA", at positions 338 to 539 of the family's 1533-position model. The record is from RNAcentral.